This 71-nucleotide transfer RNA is filed under the name Ictidomys tridecemlineatus (thirteen-lined ground squirrel). Its description in RNAcentral is "Spermophilus tridecemlineatus (thirteen-lined ground squirrel) tRNA". It matches the Rfam family "tRNA". Rfam says of the family: Transfer RNA (tRNA) molecules are approximately 80 nucleotides in length. The record is from Rfam by way of RNAcentral. Lineage: Eukaryota; Metazoa; Chordata; Mammalia; Rodentia; Sciuridae.
GGAGGUGUGGCUCAGUGGUAGAGUGCUUGCCUAACAUGUGUGAAGCUCUGGGUUCAAUCCCAGUACUGCAG